CCGGGGGGCGAGUGGGCGUCUCUGCCUGCUUCCGACGCCGGCCCCGAGGGACCGAGGGGGGACGGUGUCCGCGCUCCCGGGGGACCGAGGGGGACAGUGUCCGGGGGACCGAGGGGAAGGGGGUAGUGUCCGCGCUCCCGGGGGGCCAUGGGGACGGUGUCAGCGCUCCCGGGGGACCGAGGGGAGAGUAUCCGCGCUUCCGGGAAACCGAGGGGGACAGGGUCUGGGAGGGACCCACUUUUUCUGGCAGCUAACGUUGUGCGUGCGCACACAUCAUCUAGGCCCGUAUGUACGUGGGGUCUGAGUACACCUGGGGGUGCCGAACGUUCCACCUUUCUAACAAGCCGGGUGAGGGGGAUGCUGCCUGUGGGCGACCGCAGUUGAGAAGGCCCUGGGGACGCCCUGCCUACCCUCCGCUUACAGGUGCAUUCGGGUCGCUGUUCGUUAACCGGGGUGUCCAGAGCCCUGCGCCUCAGGGACGGACUCGGGACCCGCGGUUAAUAGGUGAGCGCGGGCACGCGGUAGCAGGAGCGGGUGAGACGGGGUGUGUGUGCGGCCGCCCGCGGACCUACCCGGAAGGCGACCGUGUGCCCGCAGGGCCGGGACUGCCACGUGCGGAGACAGCGCCCGCCGUCUGGGUGGAGUGGAGCGAGGACGCGCAGUGCGCAGGGGCCCCGCCUCUGGGGCUCGUGCGGGAGCCAGGCGGCGUCAAAGGACGCGAGGAGAUGGCUUCCCGGCAGGUGCGUUCCUGAGCGGCGGAUCAAACCGACACUGAACCCAGAGGGCCGCUCUCCGGUUUAAGCCGGGCUGCUGCAGCGUCCGAAACGGCGUCCGGUGACCCCGCAGGUCCCGCGGGUCCCGGCCGCAAGGGUCGUGGGGUCUUUACGCUCCCGCGCCCUCCUCCCCACGCUUUCCACUCCGCCCAGAGACCUCGAAGAACACCUGCUAGGCCAAGUCCCGCCUGCUUUGAACGCUCUGUGCUCCUGCUUCUUAGGUGUUCUCCCUGCUCCCCGCUCCGCUGCCGCUGCGCUCCCUUUUCAGACACUUUCUAACCUUUGCCCGGAAUCGUCAGGGGGCACUCAGCUUUCCCUGCACCGAGUCAAAAUCCCACUCGCAUCGUGAUCCUGGAGGUGGGAUCCCUAACAGUGUGUUCAACACAGAGCUGCCGUUCCGGUUCUGGGACUACAUCUCCCCAGGAGGUGACCCUGUGUGCCCUCCGCCCCGCCCCUCCUUCCCCGGAGUUACUGCGGGCCGGGCUGGAACAGACCCCUGCGGGGACCCGGUCGAAUCGCAUUUUAAUCAGGCGCCAGCAGGUGGCAGCACGCCGCCUUGCCUCGGUCCUGCUGGCGGAGCCUGAACACCUUUUCCAUGUUUUCAACAAAAUCAAUUUUCGAGUGUUCACAGUUGUUGAACUGAGAGGCUUUACUCCACACCAUUUAAUUUUAGACGGAGAAAUAGUUUGGUUUUUUUCCCGAGCAUUAUGGGGUAGCCGAAUCUGUUCUUAUCGAUUCUUCUCUCAGAGAAUGCAGGUGUAAACUUGCAGUCAUUUAACGACAGGCUUCCGAGAACUCCAUAAUUAUGGACAACGAAAGCCUUAUGGAUUAAAUCCAGCAAAUUUUAUAUCUCACCUUCACUUGAUAUUUUCAGUAUUCCACUGAUGCGUCCCUACCUCAGUGCUCGGGAAGUGGUGACCACAUGGGUCACAACCACACCAAACUGUGCUACUUGGUUUGACGCGUUUCUGUCCUUCUCACUGACUGAGCCGCUCCAGGGCCUGGUCCUGUCUUAUCUGUCUGAUUGUUUGACACCCUCAGCACAUCUGAUACCUAGUAGGUUGUCCGUGAGAAUGUCUGUGACCAGAGUGCCGAACACAUCUGUAGCGACAGCUCAUUCAGUCGUUGGAGAUGAAGAUCUUCUGGAAUCUGUGUUUGUGUGCAGACCCUCAGGACUACGCAUGCAGGCGCACUCCCGGGAGGGCUUCUUGUGUCCGCAGACAAGGAGGGAAGAGCUGAGGAAACAAAUUAAGGCACUGUCUUCUCUUGGGAAAAUUGAAUCCAUAAUGACACAUUAUUAGUUGAAGACAUCCCCUCCCACCCCCACCUUAUUCCUGAGCCAGCAGGCACUAAAGCAGCAGUUUUCCAGAACAUGUUUGGGAAGCCUCAUUGUACAGCAUAUGGAAGGGACUGUGUUCCUCGAGCCCCAUGAGGUUUCUGUAGAAUUUCUUAAAAUUUUAUCUUGGCUAGUAGUAAACACACAAGUGCAAUGUUAUGUUUGGGGAUUUUCCCUCUGUAUUUUUGAUUGUAUAUGGUCGACCCAAAACAGAUAAGAUCACUAAAGCGUGGUUAAAAUUAGGCCACACGAACAUGGUAUUUGGGUAUUUGAUGUGCUCUCUAACAGGUCGUCUGUAAGAAGCCAGAGCCAGAUGACCAGGCUCUGCUGAUGUCCUGGGAUGAGGCCCAUGGUGACACAGACAUUAGUCUAAACCUCCCUCUUGGCUUUUCUGAUGUGUGUGCCUGAUGCCUCUCGAUGGCAAAUCUGUCACAUGCCAUCAGUGGCUGGUUCUGGGUUUAUGGAAAGUGUGGAGGCAUUUCCCACAAUGGUUUCUGGCAUAUAGUGGACACUCAGGGGACAUUUGUCUAGUCAUUCAUAGCCCGGCCAUUGGCUAACGGGGCAGGCCCUGGGCCAGAUGGUGGACCACCACCAGGCCAAAAGGCGGUCCACGCCGUGGGAGACGCGCGCUGUGAUGGUGCCGAAGGAAACCGCCUGCAGGAAGCGUCACCAGGCGGGGACACGUGCAGGGCUGACCUCUGAAGAUUGAGUGGAGACUCCUCUGGUAAGCUGGGUAGAAGGAAAAGAACAUUGCUGGCAGAGGAAACCAUGUGCUCAGACACAGGUAAGGAUGAAAUUUGUUAACGAAUAUAAGGAGCUGUAAGCUCUUGCUCUGGGUUGAAGUGAAAGGCGUCUCGUGGAGAAUAUUAGGGAAUUUGAACAUUAACCAGGUAAUGUAAGUGUGUGUGCUCUGUGGAGACUGGCCUGACUCUUACAGGCCAGUAUUUCUCAUUCAAGGCCCACUGUUCUCCAUGUGCAGGGACAUAUUCUCAAACUAUUUCUCAGUAAGGCUAUAAAUGCCACAUCUGUAUUUAGAUGGCAGUGUUUGAAAUCACUGUGUCCAUUUACACGUCUGUGUCUCCUCUGUCUAUGCAUCUGCUCUGCGUUUCCUGAACGUCCACUUUAUACCACAAUUUACUUCUAGAAUCCCAAAGACGCCCUCACCCUCGAUUCUGGAAAUGAUGAGCGUGUUCCCUCACACAGAGGAGGGGAGUGUAGGUGGCACAUGGAUUACAGUCACUGCACAGCUGCCUUCAUGUAGGGAGCGAGGCAACCGGCCACGGCUAGUGUGCGGGGGGGAGAAGAGCCUGGCACGCAGGUGCCUCCGGAGGCUGGAAGGCAGCAGAAUCAUCUCCCCGGGAGACUCCGAACGGAACCAGCCCUGCCAACACUUUGAUUUCAACCCAGUGAGACCAAAAAUAAACCUCAGUACGCGUGUGGUCUCCCCCAGGCGAAUGUCCUCAGCGGUCGAUGCACGACGUCCCCACCCUCCAGCUGUCACUCCAUGAGUUCCUGGGCACAGUACGCACACCUUCCUGUGCUUCUUACAUCCUUUCCACCCUUUAAAAUUAUUUUUUUAACGUUUAUUUAUUUUUGAGACAGAGAGAGACAGAGCAUGAACAGGCGAGGGGCAGAGAGAGAGGGAGACACAGAAUCUGAAACGGGCUCCAGGCUCUGAGCUGUCAGCACAGAGCCCGACGCGGGGCUCGAACUCACGGACCAUGAGAUCAUGACCUGAGCCGAAGUCGGACACUUAACCGACCGAGCCACCCAGGCGCCCCCUUUCCACCCUUUGAACGCAACCUCUGGGAUCCUAUUAGCUGGGACUUUCUUGAUUGUAGGUUGUGGAAAUCUCCUCUCCCUCUGGCAGAGCAACGUUCUCUGGACCUAGAGCAGGAAGCAUGGCCCUGAGCCUUGGCCGCAGACCCUCCUGUCUACAUUCAUGUUCCCCGUUGCUUGACAUCGUUAUGAAAGCAGUGGCCAAAUCGUAGAAUGACUUUUUAAAUUAGGAGGGGCAAAAGCAUCUUUUGAUUUUUACUUCUGUCAACUAGCUGUUUCUCCAGCUUUUAAGAUGAUAAACUAGGGGCAUCCGGGGGGCUCAGUCGGUUAGGCAUCUGACACCUGAUUUCGGCUCAGGUCAUGAUCUCGGGGUUCAUGAGACCGAGCCCUGUGUCGGGCUCUGCACUGACAGCUGGGAGCCUGCUUGGGAUUCUCUCCCUCCCUCUCUCUGCCCCUUCCCCACUCACACUCUCACUCUAAAACACAAAACAAAACUGGGGACACGUCGAAGACUCAGUGAGAAGAGAGAUCAGCUGGGCCAGCAAGUGGGAGAGUUGAUGGCUCGCAGGCUGGUUGCGGGGGGCGGGGAGGCCUGAGGACAGAGGGUGCUCUUUGCAGGGUCAAGGUGGGAGUGACCCAGCCCAGUGUUCACAGGUUCACACCACUGCCUGAUUCUUUAUCCUUUUCCCUUUUGUUUUGUUAAACACCUAGAGUGAGAUAUGGGCUGGUAGGCUGGGUGUACAUUCAGCGUGAUUCUCCUGACAGGAGCCCGCCCCCCAGGGUCCCCCUCCUGGGGCUGGUCCUACUGGAGGUGCCAUCGCCACACUUGCUGUGUCUUAACUUGCGUUUCCCAGAUAACUAGUAAAAGUGAAUUCUUGUUCAUAUGCUUAUUGGCAAUUUAUAUAUCUUCUUUGGUAAAGUUUCUAUUUAAAUAUUUUCUCCAUUUUUUACUGGGUUGUUUUUUCUUUUUAUUAUUAGGUAUAAGAUUAAAAAAUAUGUUUUGCACACUAGUUGUUUAUUAGAUCUAUGUUUUGUGAAUGUUUUCUCCUGAUCAAGAGCUUGUCUAUUCGUAGUCUUACAGAAUCUUCAAUGAACAAAUAUUUUCAAUUUUGGCAAAGUUACUUUAUCAUUUUUUAACAUGUUCAUUGUUUUCUGUGGCCUAAGAAACGUUUGCCUACCUCAUAUCACAAAGAUCCUGUAUUUUCACAUAAAACUUUAAAUGUCGAUGAGCCAUCUCAAAUUAACUUUUGUGAAAUGGGUGAAUGAGGAAGGGUCAAGUUCAUGUUUUCCUUGAUAUGCAAUUAUUCCAGAACUGUUUACUACAAAAUGCUUUCUUUCCCCCAUUUGAUUGCCUUUCCACCUUUGUCCAACAGCAGCCAGCCCUGGGGGGUGCCUACUGCUGGGCUCUGUCCCGUGCGGGCCCCCUGCCCUCACACACACACAGUCUCUACCACUGAACUUUAUCUGAGGCUCAACCUUAUCUACAUGCAUCGUAAACACUGGGAGAAAGUAAAAUAAAGUACAGUAGAAUGCAUCAGAUGUAUCUACAAAACCUACAGGAAAUGUCUUUUAAACUUGCCCAGCAUUUACCAUUUCCAAAGCUCUUCACCCCUUUCUGGAGAUUCACGUUUUUGUGCUGUAUCAUUUUCUCUGAGGCUAAAGAAUUUCCUUUAGCAUUUCAUGCCAUAUGGAUCUGUUGCUAUUUCCUUAGUUUUCUCUGUCUGGGAUGCUUUCAUUUGGUCUUCGUUUGACAGGCUAUUUUUGCGGCACAUUGAUUUUUGCACGUGACCUUGUCUUUCCGUGAGCGCUCUGGAGCAGCCCUGCUGUCUUCCGGCCGUAGCUUCUCACCGGAGCCAGCUGUCCUUCCGCGUGCAGGUUUUCUGUGGGUACUGUGCCAUACUCCUGUUUUGAGGAUUUUCUCUUGGUUUCACCAGAUGGACGAUGAUGUGCCUAAGAUUCAUUUUAUCUGUAUUUGUAUUUCUUUUGGCUCAAUAAACUUAAUUCUCUGAAUUA
Long non-coding RNA from Felis catus (domestic cat), 5901 nucleotides. RefSeq lists it as uncharacterized. NCBI's taxonomy places the organism in Eukaryota, Metazoa, Chordata, Mammalia, Carnivora, Felidae. The transcript is spliced from 2 exons. The record is from RefSeq and is a predicted model, not a curated record.